ACUGAAGGUAACUGGACCCUCAUCAGGAAGGAUAGAUAUAGCUUACCUGUCCAGGUGCAGGCUGAGGUGCUGAACAUCUAGGAGUGAAGAUGGGAGCUGCUCCAAGAAGAGGCAGAGAACAGAGCUCGCCUCUAGGACAGAGUCAAGUGAUUGUGCACUUGCUUCAGACGUCACUGCUCAAAAUAGCUGCAUGAGAGGCUGCGGUGAGCCAAGGUCACGACACUGCACUCCAGCCUGGGCAACAGGGCAAGACUCCGUCUCAAAAAAUAAAAAAAAAUAAAAAAAACGAAAUAGCUGUAUGACUCCUCCUCCUUUUUACUUGGGGGAGAGAGAGUUUGAGGUGGAAAGAGGAGAGAUGGGCAGGAAGAACGGGUUCUCACCACGCUUUCCCACUGGUGAGAGAACAGGUACGUGUCCUCCUUUGGGGAAAAUCCAGGGGCAAAUACAGGGUGCCAAGAGAGCGAAUUUCAGGAACUCCUCCUUGUCCUCAAGGACGAGACCAUGGAUUCCAGAUCCAGAGGACAGGUAGAUGUCGGCCUGGCAGAGGUGGGGCUGGGGAGGAGGUUUUAGCCGGCGAUUACUGCUGAUCAAAAUCCCCAAGGAGAAAGAAAAUAUAGCCUGCCUAGGAACUGAAAGAAGCUUGGAGUGUUCAGCCUAAAAUGAGGCAUUUUAUGUAAAUUAGUGGGCAUGAUUCCUGCUACAUUGUAUGUACCUGAUGGCUUACGGUUAUUUUGCAGAAGUUUACUUCUUACUGGGUGGAGACACUUGGCAUUUGUAAAUGAGAAUAACAAUUUGAAGGAAGAUAAGAACAAGAACAAAACCUCCUAUAGCAUAAACAGAAACGUUUGGAGUGUAUUAAUCUGCUGCUUACUUUCGAAAAUGCCAUCAGCCUCUUUCCGCGCAGGAAGCUGGGGGAGCGGCACCCGGCCCUCUGUGUCAGUGCCUGGGAAGCGCCUGAGGAUUUCUGGGCGACCAGGAGCCAGGGCCGCCACCGUUCCCGGGACAGGGAAGAGGAGGUUCACAUUUCACUCCUGGAAGGAGAAAAUGGAAAAUGUUCUACCAGGAGGCACGAAUCACUCUGGCACAUGCUGUAAUAGCUGCAGCGGGAACGAAUUCAGCCCAUGACAUUUGAAUGUACGAGAAAUUCUCUUUAUUAUCAGUUUCUCCUCAAUCCAGUUGCAACUCUCUCCUGCCCAGCCCCAUGCAUCAGGGUUUUCAAGAGAUUUAAUUUUGGUCCUUUACCCUUUUAGGGGGUUGGGCUGAGAUCCUUAACAUCCUCCAGAGUAUGGUAAGGGCCUCAGGGGGUCUCAAGCCAUCAGAAAUAUUUGGGGAGGGGUCUGGUGCUCCUUCCACCAGGGUCUCACUGUAGAGGCAACGGUGGUGCACAGUCACAUCUCCCGUCGUGAGGAGCUGUUGAAGACACAGGUGCGUGGAGGGGCGGCCAGAGCCUGCUAAGAGCCGCAGGAAUGUCCGACCCAAACUCUAGGGCAGGAAGAGCAGCGGGAAGCCUUGGGAGGCCAGCCAGCCAUUUAGCUCCUCCCUGGGAGCCAUUCUCUAGCAGAGCUGCCAGAGUCAUAAAUAAAAAUACAGGAUGCCCAAUUAAAUGUGCAUUUUACAUAAGCAAUUGUAUUCAUGUCCUGUGGCUGCUGUAACAAAUCACCUCAAUCUGGGGCGCUUAAAACAACAGAAAUUUAUUAUCACAGUCUAGAGGCCAAAAGACCAACGUCAAGGUGUCAGGGCUGGGCUCCCUCGGGAGGAUCCAGGACCCUUUUGGCCUCUUCCUGCUCCUGGGGCCUCCAGGCGUCCCUUGGCUCGUGGCCGCAUUGCUCCAGCCUCUGCUUCUGCCCUCACACGGGCUCUUCCCUGCGCGUCUCUCCUCUGUCUUCAUGUCAUUCGUAUGAGGACAUCAGUCACUGGACUUAGGGCCCGCCCUACUUCAAUAUGACCUCGUCUUAACUAAUUACCUCUACAAAGAACCUAUUUCCAAAUAGAGUCACCUUCUAAAGUUCCGGGUGGGCACGAACUUCUUGGUGGACGCUAUUCAACCCGUAAUAACAAUGAAAAAGUUGUUUUACUUCUGCAGGACCUAUUCUAUGCGAAAAUAGUUCUUUUUUUAUCUGAAAUUCAAAUAUUACAAGAGACCUACUUAUACUAAAAAGCUAUUCAUUUUUACCUGAAGCUCAAAUAUUGCAUGAGACAUAGAUAUUAAAAUUAUUUGUUGUUUAUCUGAAAUUCAAAUGUUGCAUUGGAUAUGCUUAUACUAAAAAGGCAUUCCUAUUUUAUCUGGUAACUCUCUUCCUGCGUCCCCCAGCGUCCGUGUGUGUCCUGCCCCUCUGCAGUUCCGCCGUCUUGCAGGCCUCCAUGGUUCCGUGGGAGAUAGAGAGCGCAGGUCACCCACCCCGGGGACACUGCAAGUGGUUACACCCUCCCCCACCCUUCACCCCCCACACCCCCCUCCCCACCCCAACUGGUGCAGGGCCCCAGUCCUGUGGCCUGUGAGGAGAGCUCAGACUUUGGAAAUCUGAAUAAUG
Molecule: long non-coding RNA, 2531 nt
Organism: Rhinopithecus bieti (black snub-nosed monkey)
Lineage: Eukaryota; Metazoa; Chordata; Mammalia; Primates; Cercopithecidae
Source: Ensembl